UUUGUCUUGUGGUUAAGUCCUUGAUCUUUGAUUAUGUCAAAGUCACCCCAUCCACGGGUGUCCACGGCAUCGUUGGGGUUAAGCCACUUAGCUAUGAAGGCAAGUGAAUGCGCAACAAGGGAUCUCUAACCUUCAAACCGUUUGAGGGAGAAUACUCUAUGAUAUGAUUUAGAACCUCUGAUCAGAGUAUGAAUGAGAUUUAGGAAGUUGUUCCAAAUCACAUUCAAGGUAAUCAUAUAAGCACACGAAUCACAUUGGAUAGUAGACAUGAAUAAAUAAACUAUCAAACCAAACAAUGUGAUCAAGAGUAUUGUAUUAGAGAAAGACCGUAUUGCAUUUGUAAUCCUAAAAACUGAAUAGGUUCUCUACCUCUUCUGAUUAGCUUGGGUAACCAUGAUAUGCUG
This 404-nucleotide long non-coding RNA is filed under the name Malus domestica (apple). RNAcentral describes it as "long non-coding RNA (MDOM_LNC012418)". The record is from RNAcentral. Lineage: Eukaryota; Viridiplantae; Streptophyta; Magnoliopsida; Rosales; Rosaceae.